RNAcentral lists this long non-coding RNA (384 nucleotides) under Elaeis guineensis (African oil palm). RNAcentral describes it as "long non-coding RNA (EGUI_LNC051947)". The record is from RNAcentral. Lineage: Eukaryota; Viridiplantae; Streptophyta; Magnoliopsida; Arecales; Arecaceae.
AACAACGUCGAACGUGUCUUAUCCGCGUGAGAGGAUAAAGACAAGAGGUUACACAUUUGAAUUCAAAUCAAAUUUGAAUUCAAACGAAAACCAACUUAUCCCUAUCCUUUUGGGUGUGAGAAGAGAAGGGGCGUGGAUCUUUGUGCAUGGAAAAUGUUUCAUGAGAAACCUUUUCUCGUGUAAGUAAUGUGGCGCACAAAAUGGAUAAGGAUGAAAGGGCAAGUGAUAAGUUAUCCAUUCAAAUUCAAACAUGCUUUGAAUUUGAAUGGCUAACUAAUUAUUUUAUCCAUCCAUAUGGUGCACAAAUGAGGGCGUGGGGAAGGGUUUUGCAUGAGAAAAAUUUCACAAGAAGUUUCUUCUCGUGAAUUCAAAUGGGUGCAAGGA